This 495-nucleotide ribosomal RNA is filed under the name uncultured bacterium. RNAcentral describes it as "partial 16S ribosomal RNA". It matches the Rfam family "Bacterial small subunit ribosomal RNA", at positions 28 to 507 of the family's 1533-position model. The record is from RNAcentral.
GACGAACGCUGGCGGCGUGCCUAAUACAUGCAAGUAGAACGCUGAAGGAGGAGCUUGCUUCUCUGGAUGAGUUGCGAACGGGUGAGUAACGCGUAUGUAACCUGCCUGGUAGCGGGGGAUAACUAUUGGAAACGAUAGCUAAUACCGCAUAAGAGUAGAUGUUGCAUGACAUUUGCUUAAAAGGUGCAAUUGCAUCACUACCAGAUGGACCUGCGUUGUAUUAGCUAGUUGGUGGGGUAACGGCUUACCAAGGCGACGAUACAUAGCCGACCUGAGAGGGGGGACGGCCAAACUGGGACUGAGACAACGCCCAGAACCCUAAGGGAGGCAGCAGUAGGGAAUCUUCGGGAAUGGACGGAAGUCUGACCGAGCAACGCCGCGUGAGUGAAGAAGGUUUUCGGAUCGUAAAGCUCUGUUGUAAGAGAAGAACGAGUGUGAGAGUGGAAAGUUCACACUGUGACGGUAUCUUACCAGAAAGGGACGGCUAACUACGUG